UCCCUGGUGGUCCAAUGGUUAGGGCUCUGCACUCCCAAUGCAGGGGACCUGGGUUUGAUCCCUAGUUAAGGAA
This is a non-coding RNA of Budorcas taxicolor (takin), 73 nucleotides long. The record is from the annotation of a RefSeq genome assembly. Lineage: Eukaryota; Metazoa; Chordata; Mammalia; Artiodactyla; Bovidae.